AUGGGACUCCCUUAGUACGAUGGCGGGCAAAUCUUUGCAAAGCGCUGAGUCCCAAGUGGGGUGUUUGUAUGUAGUGCCACUAAUUAACCAUGUGUCUGCUGAUGAGAGUGGUCCAAGAUCGACUGACAUGCUUUGAGGCUUGCAAGCUUUUAAAAACUGGGUGCAUUGGACACCUUAGACAAAAUUAUAUAUUACAUUGG
RNAcentral lists this long non-coding RNA (200 nucleotides) under Solanum tuberosum (potato). RNAcentral's name for it is "long non-coding RNA (STUB_LNC008307)". Lineage: Eukaryota; Viridiplantae; Streptophyta; Magnoliopsida; Solanales; Solanaceae. The record is from RNAcentral.